UACGGAGGAUGCGAGCGUUAUCCGGAUUUAUUGGGUUUAAAGGGUGCGUAGGCGGACUGUCAAGUCAGCGGUAAAAUUGAGAGGCUCAACCUCUUCCCGCCGUUGAAACUGGUGGUCUUGAGUGGAUGAGAAGUACGCGGAAUGCGUGGUGUAGCGGUGAAACGCAUAGAUAUCACGCAGAACUCCGAUUGCGAAGGCAGCGUACCGGCAUCCAACUGACGCUGAGGCACGUAAGCGUGGGGAUCAAACAGG
Molecule: ribosomal RNA, 252 nt
Filed under: uncultured bacterium
Lineage: Bacteria
Description: partial 16S ribosomal RNA
Rfam family: Bacterial small subunit ribosomal RNA
Source: RNAcentral